Molecule: small RNA, 17 nt
Filed under: Arabidopsis thaliana (thale cress)
Lineage: Eukaryota; Viridiplantae; Streptophyta; Magnoliopsida; Brassicales; Brassicaceae
Description: ATSL222370
Source: RNAcentral
AACUCUCGUGCUAAAAC